UAAGACGAACCGUGCGAACGUUGUUCGGAAUCACUGGGCUUAAAGGGCGCGUAGGCGGGUCAUCAAGUCCGGGGUGAAAGCCCCCAGCCUAACUGGGGAAGUGCCUCGGAUACUGGUGACCUCGAGCGGGGUAGGGGCAUCUGGAACAGCCGGUGGAGCGGUGAAAUGCGUUGAUAUCGGCUGGAACUCCGAUGGCGAAGGCAAGGUGCUGGACCCCUUCUGACGCUGAGGCGCGAAAGCCAGGGGAGCGAACGGGAUUAGAUACCCCGGUAGUCCUGGCCCUAAACGAUGAGAACUAGAUAGCGGUCUUGCAUGGGAUCGCUGUCGGAGCAAAAGUGCUAAGUUCUCCGCCUGGGGAGUAUGGUCGCAAGGCUG
This 375-nucleotide ribosomal RNA is filed under the name uncultured bacterium. RNAcentral's name for it is "bacterial SSU rRNA". It matches the Rfam family "Bacterial small subunit ribosomal RNA", at positions 521 to 896 of the family's 1533-position model. The record is from RNAcentral.